CCUUGGAUGUCGCUUCUGCUCCUGUUCGUGAGAAGAGGGGAAGUCAUGCGGUAGCUAUAACGCCCGUCUUAAACCUGUCGCUUCCCUGCUUGAGCCGAAGAGUUCUCGGGGAAGUUUGCCUAAGCGGGUCUUCUUCCGACGGGACUCGGAUCCUCUCAGCUCGGAGAGAUUGUUAGACAUUGGCAUGAGAGGAGACACGGGCUAAGAAUAGGAAUGCCAAGAUUGCAGGAUGAUCAACAAGUGACAUGUUUUCCAAGGGGCAUCAGAGAGGCUCUCUUACCUUCUUUGUUGCUGCAAGCUCCUCCUCCAAAGCAUCCACACGCUUCACAGCGGCAUUCAGUAUCUCUUCCUUCUCAGCCGGCAACUCUACAGGCUUCGCACUGAGUUCAGCCACCUUCUCUUCAAGCUCACUGAGGCGCUUCACGACACCAGAGAACUCAGCAGCUGAGAUGGCCGGUGCAGACUGCUCGCUCUGUUGCAUUUGGCCUUUAAGCAUCGUGCCGGCCAACUCAAGAGACCUCGCGUAGUCGAUAUCUGCAUUAGACAUCUUCUUUGGCACGGUGUUGCCUCCUACGCGGAUCAUGGUGACAAGUCCCAUGACAAAGGCCAUAACUCCAGCCAACACAUGGUUGCUGACUCCAUCUGGUCCUCUGUAGAUUUCAGAUAGAUUGUAGGCACCUGCAGUGAAAGGUGGAUCAUUGGAAGCUCAUCAGUGGAAAUCUCAACAGUUCCAAUGUGUAAUCGGCUAAGGAUGAUGAUGAUAUGGACCUUUGGACAUGGCAAACUUUUGACUAAGCAUUUGCUUCUUCCAGGUUGCAUCCAUAGCCUUGUCCACAAUUGGAAUCAGAUCAUUAUAUGAGUAGGUUGGGAAUUCCUUGAGUGCAGCCUCGACGUCCAAAUUCUUCUGGAAAGGUAUUAGUGUUAGAAAUGAUAAGAUCAAUAGCAACUGCAAGUCUGAUUCACUUGGAACUUUGAAUCCUUUUGUGUUCCUGAAAUUUCAGAUACUGAAUUCUUGAUGAGUUCAGUAAUAUCAUGGAGUUCUACUUUUGCUUAACAGAUGUAUCAGGAAGAAGUUCCAGUCAGUAUCUCUGGCUCAAUCCACAAAGGGAAAAUAUUACUUCUGUUCCAAGUUGAUUCAUUUGAUGAAGAUUAAUUUAGUUUUUGUGGUGCUAAUCAACAACUAAAGAUUACCUCAGCUUCUGUAUUGUUGACUUCUUCAUGAAGAGGUGACAAUUGUGGGUGCUCAAUCUGACUCCUUGACAUCUUGGGAGAAGCAGAGGACAUUUCAUCAGCAGCAAAGGCAGAUGGCCCUCGGAAAGACUCGUGCCUCUUCAUGUUGGGGAAAUUUUUUUGUCAGUGAUCAGAAACAUGAAGCUCCAAUGAACAUUAACACAGGAAGAAAUGGUGAUUAAUUAUCACCUUUGAAUACACAAUGUCAUCCUCAGAAAUGGUCUUCUCCUCAACUGCAGGAGUCAUUUGUUGCCUUCCACAUUGUCCCAUACCACUCUGAACCAUCUGUGUAUGCCGUGAAUUCAUCGAAAUCGUGCUUAAAAUGUUAAUGCAAUUGUUUUGAGCAUACAAUUAGUGCAAAAACGGAGGAGAAGAAAACCUCACCUUUAAGAUCUCAGGGUCCUUCCAUGGGCCCUUGUCUGAUCGAAGACAACCUCCUUCACAGUUGCAGGUGCCACCAAGGAACUCCGGCAACUCACUUGUAAAUCCCAAAAGAAUUAUGAUCAAACACAACUAUUUCUCAAAAGCUUGCAGUAAGAUUUGUUCAUCAUCUAUUGGAAGAUACCUGGCAUCAAUCACUUCAAGCAGCUUGCUCUGGUACUUGUUUCCAAGAACCUGAGGGGAGUUCUCAUCAGAUAUCUAAGUUCUUGUACUGAAUGCAAUCCAUGGUAUCUAUCAACAGCUUACAUGGAUUUUCGCGGUGGUCUUUGGGUCAAGGAAGGACUUGACAGUGUUCCAAAGCAGUCUGAAUCCCUGUCCUGCAUUGACGAUGAACAUGCGGCACAAAGUCUGCAGUUGGGGAAAGAAUCACACCUCAUGAUCACUUGAAAUGCCAUCAGUACAUUUUGUUGAAUUGUUUCAUUCCCUGUCAUCAAAAGCCAUUCCAUACACAUUCUGAUUCGUGAACAUCACCGGAGGAGGAUAGGAUCUGAGAAGGGAAAACAAGGCAUCUGAUGCAUACCACUCCUUGCACAUCAAUGAUGGUCGUGCUCUGGUCGAUGUGCCGUUUUGCUGCAAUCGAACAGGCAGGAAACUUGACGACGAAGGUCCUCUCAAACUCCUUCACAUGGCCGGCCUUCCUUAUCGACUCCAUGGUGGCCUUGCGGGUAGUAUUCCAAGACUUCCCCGAGUUCCUUGAAAUCAAAAUCCUAGUAGGAGGAGAACGUAUCAGAGCUACAAUCUUAUGAGUUGAAGCCGGUAGAACAGUCAAUAAAAGGAGGAGUUACAUCCAAAAUUGUGUCAGCUCCAAAUUCCUUCCUCCAUUGGAGCAUAUCAGUCCACAUUUGCUUUGUCUUCUCAAUGUCAAAUUUCCUGGCCUUGAGAAAUCUGCACCACAGAGACGCCACACUGAGUAUCCAUUGCUCCAUGGAUUUGAGCUGUGAAGUCAAGAGUAAUGUGUCCAAGUGAAGAGGAAAACCUGAGCAUUGUAUGGUAAUCAUCAUGCCUAGAAGGUAGCAUCUCCUCCAGAAUAAGAAUCUGACGGAAGGCAUCAACAGCCUGCAUCUCCUCGGCAUCACGCACGUCCUCGAUGGAGACAGACAUGACUUUGCUGCUCCUUCUUCCUCUUCUGUUCAAAGAAUUCCUGUACUUUGUGGAGGCAUUCAUUGCCUUCUUCGUUAGAGACUCGAUCUUAUUUCUCCUCUCAUCCUCGGAGUUCUCGACAUCUAUGUUACAUAAUUGAGAUCAUUAAAAGAAAUCUUGGUUAUAGA
Musa acuminata AAA Group (dessert banana) is the source of this 2939-nucleotide long non-coding RNA. RefSeq lists it as uncharacterized. Lineage: Eukaryota; Viridiplantae; Streptophyta; Magnoliopsida; Zingiberales; Musaceae. The transcript is spliced from 4 exons. The record is from RefSeq and is a predicted model, not a curated record.